CUGAGGUGGUUAAUGGAGCUAUCUCUAAGCCAUUUCCAAGUGAGCAAAUAAGGAGACUAACACAUUUAACAUCCUUUCUUUAACCCCCAUAAGUUGUUUUUAAUAAUAACUAUUCCUGGGUUGAAGUGAUAACUUGCAUUAACUGACAGGUAGCCCAUCAGCAAUAACAUUGUUGUAACUUUGCCCUAAUUAUCACCUGCUGUUUUAAUUUUUUUUCACAUUGGAAGUUGUUUUUCAAACUGCAGUUUUAAUGUUUAAAAAAGGGGGGAGGAGGAGAUGAGUGGUUCAAUUUGCUAAAUGUUGUGUUUCCUUCCAUAAUAUUGUACGAUAAACUUUCAUCAUCUCUGCAGGUGUCUCUGAUGAAUGACACAUUGAUCAACCCAUAUUCUUCAGACUCUACCAUGUGAAGCCAAUGAAAGAUGCCUGCUGGUGACCAAAUGAUGUUCAUGUAAAAUGGCCAUUCUGGCAAAUUUAAUAAGCUUUAGAUUUAUUUUAAAAACCAACCAGUAUUUCUAUCCCUUCUCAAGGCAAUGUUUUCUAUUUGAGGUUUCACUUGACAUGACCAGGUAGGAAAAUUGAUGAAUAGUCAUAAGAAGAAACUUUAAAUGACUCUUUAAAGCUACCAGUGAGAGAUCUCAGUAUUUAUUACUGAUCAUGAGUCUGACGAUCAAUUCUUCUAAUAGAUUUGGUAGAUGACUUGUGAUGAAUUGUGAUUUUUAUGUUUAUUUGAAGAGCAGUAUAAAUCUAAACUGGUCAGAUUCAGAUAAGAUAACAUCCCAGUUGAAGAAAUUAUCAACUCUUUGGAAUUAUGUAAAAAAAAAUAAGUUAUAGCCCAGACCUAAUUCAUGCUCCUAUUUACAAAACUUAGUAUAGUAAUUAUUUUGUAUUUCUGCUGUGUUCAAGGCCUUUCAUGGUCUUGCCCCAGUAAUCUUAUCAACCUCAUUUAUUGCAGUAUAUAUUAAUAUAUUUCUAUGCAUCCCAGCUCCUUCCCAGAACACCCCCACACCUUUGCUCAUGCUGGUCCAGCGUCCUACAAUCUCCUUUCCUGCCAUCCAGAAUUGCUGAAUUUCCACCCAUCCCUCAAGACCAAUUUAACCAUUAAGGCCAACUCAUCUAGAAAGCUUACUUUAGUUACUACUUCCAUUCAGAAUUAACAGCUUCUCUGCUUAUGUGACACUUUAAUUUAUGAAUAUUUUAAUGUGUUAUUAAAUAUUUCAAAAUAAUAUAAUGAACAAUCAUGUACUCCCCAGUAGCGUAAGAAAUAAAACAUUUCCAAAAUACUCGAACCCUCCUGUGUAUAAUACUGAUGUCAGUGGCUGCUGCCAUCAUGCCUGCUGCAGCAGGGAAGCGCAGCUGGGGCUGCACACUCCAUGGAGCAAGUGGGAGCC
RNAcentral lists this long non-coding RNA (1388 nucleotides) under Homo sapiens (human). RNAcentral describes it as "HSALNT0341461". Lineage: Eukaryota; Metazoa; Chordata; Mammalia; Primates; Hominidae. The record is from RNAcentral.